Molecule: non-coding RNA, 1242 nt
Organism: Schizosaccharomyces pombe (fission yeast)
Lineage: Eukaryota; Fungi; Ascomycota; Schizosaccharomycetes; Schizosaccharomycetales; Schizosaccharomycetaceae
Source: the annotation of a GenBank genome assembly
AAAAAAAAAAAAAUUAAUAAAGAGAAACAAAAUAUUGAAACCAUCUCGAAAUGCUGUAAUGAAUAAAUAAAUUAAAUAAAAUAAGAAAAAAAAUAAAAAAAUUUCUAUAAAGUUAAAAAUAAAUAAAAUAAAAUCAAUUUAAAAAAAAAAAAAAAGAAACCAAAAAACGUCGAGCCAUUCCUACUUUUGCUCAUGUUCUCAUCUCACAUUUCUCACGUAUCAUCUUUUCUUCUCUACUUCGGGUUACACACCUUGGGUUACGCUUCCUAAAAGAUUAUAAAUGGUCUUUAGCUACACCUUACUUCUCCUUAUUAUUGAUUUAACAAAACCAUCAUUGCAGUUCGUCUAACAAAAUAAUGGUUUACCAACUCUCUAUUGCGUAGUUGUGUAAUCCGCAGUUUGCAGCAUCUCGUAAUAUUCCCUGCUUAUAACGGAAUUUCACGAUGUAUCGCAUGCAAUACGUGCGGCGUUGAAACAAUUGUGUUAUUGUGCGCAGUGUGUGUAAUACCUGAAUGAGAUUGCCUCUACUAAGCCAUACUCACUUUGAACAUGGUUGUGGUUAUCUUUUAAAUAACGUUUUGCAAAGUGUUAUUGUUUUUGCUCUAAUUGUUUUUUUUUUCAACAAGUGAAGUUCCCCUAUUUAGAUCAAAAUUUCAUCACCCAAUAACAACACCAUCAUGCAAAGAAUACUUCGGAAUUUUAAAAGACAAAGAAAACUUCUUAAAAUUUAUUUACAGAAAUAAGUUUGUUUCCUAAGGGAUACUCACUCUAAAGACAAGAUGCACUUCCCCUUCUUCCUCUCUUUCUCUCUCUCUCUCUCUUUGAACUAGUACCACCACUUCGCUUCUCUCCACUUUGAACCUCUAACCUAGCGAGGGUUUUACCGUACUCGCUAUCUCGCUUUGCAAAUCCACAAAGCUUCUGUAUUACAUCAUAAGAAAGUAGAGUGGGCGCUCAUUGGAAAUAGCUUACGUAGCUCAGAAAACGAAUGGUGCGAAGAAAAGGGGCUUUGCUAGAAGCUGCUCAUUAUUUGUCUGAUUGGAUAGCGAGCUAUCUGAUAGAAAACUACGUAAUUCCUUGGAUCGCAGUUUUCUCCAGUUUCUAAUGCUAACUGACGCAAAUGUGAUGUAAUGGGCUGCGAUCAUAAUGACAUGAGCAAUUGGACAAGAAGCUAUAAAUACGAGUCCAAGUUCAACAGUUUAAUCAUUCAAUUCAAUUCCAAUCAAUUUAAUUGUCUUAAAU